Molecule: ribosomal RNA, 482 nt
Filed under: uncultured bacterium
Lineage: Bacteria
Description: partial 16S ribosomal RNA
Rfam family: Bacterial small subunit ribosomal RNA
Source: RNAcentral
AUUGAACGCUGGCGGCAUGCUCUACACAUGCAAGUCGAACGGUAACAGGCCGCCAGGUGCUGACGAGUUGCGAACGGGUGAGUAAUGCAUCGGAACGUGCCCAGACGUGGGGGAUAACUACUCGAAAGAGUAGCUAAUACCGCCUACGACCUAUGGAUGAAAGCGGGGGACCGUAAGGCCUCGCGCGAUUGGAGCGGCCGAUGUCAGAUUAGGUAGUUGGUGGGGUAAAGGCUCACCAAGCCAACGAUCUGUAGCUGGUCUGAGAGGACGACCAGCCACACUGGGACUGAGACACGGCCCAGACUCCUACGGGAGGCAGCAGUGGGGAAUUUUGGACAAUGGGCGGAAGCCUGAUCCAGCAAUGCCGCGUGCAGGAAGAAGGCCUUCGGGUUGUAAACUGCUUUUGUACGGAACGAAACGGCUCUGGUUAAUACCCGGGGCUAAUGACGGUACCGUAAGAAUAAGCACCGGCUAACUACGUG